This 636-nucleotide ribosomal RNA is filed under the name uncultured bacterium. RNAcentral's name for it is "bacterial SSU rRNA". It matches the Rfam family "Bacterial small subunit ribosomal RNA", at positions 202 to 842 of the family's 1533-position model. The record is from RNAcentral.
UAAAGAAUUUCGGUAUGGGAUGGGGAUGCGUUCCAUUAGUUAGUUGGCGGGGUAACGGCCCACCAAGACAACGAUGGAUAGGGGUUCUGAGAGGAAGGUCCCCCACAUUGGAACUGAGACACGGUCCAAACUCCUACGGGAGGCAGCAGUGAGGAAUAUUGGUCAAUGGACGAGAGUCUGAACCAGCCAAGUAGCGUGAAGGAUGACUGCCCUAUGGGUUGUAAACUUCUUUUAUAUGGGAAUAAAAUGUUCCACGUGUGGGAUUUUGUAUGUACCAUAUGAAUAAGGAUCGGCUAACUCCGUGCCAGCAGCCGCGGUAAUACGGAGGAUCCGAGCGUUAUCCGGAUUUAUUGGGUUUAAAGGGAGCGUAGGUGGAUUGUUAAGUCAGUUGUGAAAGUUUGCGGCUCAACCGUAAAAUUGCAGUUGAAGCUGGCAGUCUUGAGUACAGUAGAGGUGGGCGGAAUUCGUGGUGUAGCGGUGAAAUGCUUAGAUAUCACGAAGAACUCCGAUUGCGAAGGCAGCUCACUGGACUGCAACUGACACUGAGGCUCGAAAGUGUGGGUAUCAAACAGGAUUAGAUACCCUGGUAGUCCACACAGUAAACGAUGAAUACUCGCUGUUUGCGAUAUACAGCAA